AAUUCCUAGUGGCGAACGGGUGAGUAACGCGUAGGCAACCUGCCCUUCAGACGGGGACAACAUUCCGAAAGGGAUGCUAAUACCGGAUACGAAGCUUCUGCCGCAUGACGGAAGCUUGAAAGGUGCCCUCAAGCACCGCUGAAGGAUGGGCCUGCGUCCGAUUAGCUGGUUGGUGGGGUAACGGCUCACCAAGGCGACGAUCGGUAGCCGGUCUGAGAGGAUGAACGGCCACAUUGGGACUGAGACACGGCCCAGACUCCUACGGGAGGCAGCAGUGGGGAAUCUUCCGCAAUGGGCGAAAGCCUGACGGAGCAACGCCGCGUGAGUGAUGAAGUUCUUCGGAACGUAAAACUCUGUUGUUCACGACGAACGGGGGACCAGGAAAUGGGUUCCCAGUGACGGUAGUGAACGAGGAAGCCACGGCUAACUACGUGCC
This 436-nucleotide ribosomal RNA is filed under the name uncultured bacterium. RNAcentral's name for it is "bacterial SSU rRNA". It matches the Rfam family "Bacterial small subunit ribosomal RNA", at positions 87 to 509 of the family's 1533-position model. The record is from RNAcentral.